CUCCUAUACCCUCGCGCCGCGCCCCCCAGCUUGCGUCGGGCGCGCCCCCCAGACAUUUCCGCGGCCUUUUCACCCGACUGUGCAGUCCGGGGUUUACGCGGGCGCGCGCCAACGAACGUUCCCUACGUUUGGCAUCUCCGGUCUCUUUCCGAAACGGGCGGGUACCUUUCGGGGAGCCCUGAGACAGGUGCUGCACGGCCGUUGUCAGCUUGCGUGGUGAGAUGUUGGGCUAAGUCCCGCAGCGAGCGCAACCCCUAUGGAUAGUUGCCAGCAAGUGAUGUUGGGCCCUGUAUUCAGACCUGCGCGGGUUAACCGGGAGGAAGGUGGGGACGACGUCAAGUCAUCAUGGCCCUUACGCCUAGGGGUACACACGUACUACAAUGGCGCGCGCAAAGGGGAGCGAGACCGCGAGGUGGAGCCAAUCCCAAAAAACGCGUCCCAGUCCGGAUUGCAGUCUGCAACUCGACUGCAUGAAGUCGGAAUCGCUAGUAAUUCGAGAUCAGCAUGCUCGGGUGAAUGCGUUCCCGGGCCUUGUACACACCGCCCGUCACACCACGAAAGUCGGUUUUACCCGAAGUCGGUGAGCCAACCAGCAAUGGAGGCAGCCGCCUACGGUAGGGCUGAUGAUUGGGGUGAAGUCGUAACAAGGU
Molecule: ribosomal RNA, 650 nt
Filed under: uncultured bacterium
Lineage: Bacteria
Description: partial 16S ribosomal RNA
Rfam family: Bacterial small subunit ribosomal RNA
Source: RNAcentral